Camellia sinensis is the source of this 523-nucleotide non-coding RNA. Lineage: Eukaryota; Viridiplantae; Streptophyta; Magnoliopsida; Ericales; Theaceae. The record is from RefSeq and is a predicted model, not a curated record.
CGUCACUGGCAAUUCUACUCGUGACCUUGGAGGUGUGAUUCCAUCAUCAGAUGGAAAGAGAAGCAUGAUGAAACUGGCACAAAGGAUGAUAAACAAUUUUUGUGGGAGCAUCAACCCAUCCAACGGUCACCAGUGGACCACAUUUUCAGGGUUAAAUGAAGUUGAAGUCCGAGCCAGCCUUCACAAGAGUACCGAUCCAGGCCAGCCCAGUGGUGUGGUCCUCAGUGCUGCUACAACCAUUUGGGUCCCUGUUUCUCCCCAAAAUGUUUUCAAUUUCUUUAGGGAUGAACGUACUCGACCUCAGGUAUAUUCAAUUCCUACAUUAUAUGUAGGACUCGACUUAUCUCCAUUUCAUCAUGUGGACUGGACCGUGUUGUCUGGACCGUAAGACUCACCGCAAAUUCACUUCCAUGGUUCAAUCUAUUUGUUUUUUAUGUCAUUGUGGGUAGAAGAUGCAUGGAAAACAUAAAAUUGAUAAAAAAUAAUUACACCUACAUUAUUUUAUUAUGUCUCCAAAAAAAAA